This 76-nucleotide transfer RNA is filed under the name Richelia sp. RM2_1_2. Its description in RNAcentral is "tRNA-Asn". It matches the Rfam family "tRNA". From Rfam's summary of the family: Transfer RNA (tRNA) molecules are approximately 80 nucleotides in length. Their secondary structure includes four short double-helical elements and three loops (D, anti-codon, and T loops). Further hydrogen bonds mediate the characteristic L-shaped molecular structure. tRNAs have two regions of fundamental functional importance: the anti-codon, which is responsible for specific mRNA codon recognition, and the 3' end, to which the tRNAs corresponding amino acid is attached (by aminoacyl-tRNA synthetases). tRNAs cope with the degeneracy of the genetic code in two manners: having more than one tRNA (with a specific anti-codon) for a particular amino acid; and 'wobble' base-pairing, i.e. permitting non-standard base-pairing at the 3rd anti-codon position. Lineage: Bacteria; Bacillati; Cyanobacteriota; Cyanophyceae; Nostocales; Nostocaceae. The record is from RNAcentral.
UCCGGAGUAGCUCAGCGGUAGCAGCGUCGGUCUGUUAAACCGAAUGUCGUUGGUUCGAUCCCAACCUCCGGAGCCA